Molecule: ribosomal RNA, 253 nt
Filed under: uncultured bacterium
Lineage: Bacteria
Description: partial 16S ribosomal RNA
Rfam family: Bacterial small subunit ribosomal RNA
Source: RNAcentral
UACAGAGGCCUCGAGCGUUAAUCGGAAUCACUGGGCUUAAAGGGUGCGUAGGCGGAUUUUCAAGUGCCUUGUGAAAUCCCAUGGCUCAACCAUGGAAUUGCUCGGUAGACUGAGGAUCUUGAGGUAGGUAGGGGUCACUGGAACUCUAGGUGGAGCGGUGAAAUGCGUAGAUAUCUAGAGGAACGCCGAUGGUGAAGACAGGUGACUGGGCCUAUUCUGACGCUGAUGCACGAAAGCGUGGGGAGCAAACGGG